UACGAUGAUGUCUACGCCACAUUCCAAU
RNAcentral lists this small RNA (28 nucleotides) under Bombyx mori (domestic silkworm). RNAcentral's name for it is "ovarian small RNA-21038". Lineage: Eukaryota; Metazoa; Arthropoda; Insecta; Lepidoptera; Bombycidae. The record is from RNAcentral.